Pseudonaja textilis is the source of this 1350-nucleotide non-coding RNA. NCBI's taxonomy places the organism in Eukaryota, Metazoa, Chordata, Lepidosauria, Squamata, Elapidae. The record is from RefSeq and is a predicted model, not a curated record.
UAAUGAUAAAGAAAAAGGGUUCCCACCACCAUAAAAAUUACCUGAACUUACACCAGAAUGUGAACUGUGUUCAUUCUCCUUAAACAGAGCGUAUCAUGGUUUAGAUUCUAAUGUUAUGUUUAUAAAAGAUAACAUUUGCCAAAAUAUUUUUUUUUCAAGCCAGGUGCUGAAAAUAGUGUAACUCUAGCUUUUUUAAAAAUAAAAACACUACAAUUCCUGCACUGAAAGCAAAGUCUAAAUGCACAGCUAAAAAGCACAUGAAAGUGCUUUCCAAAAAAAUGCAGGUCGGCUAUAAAUUAAAAUAUUUUUAAAAUACUUACCAUGGAUAAUCUAUAAGGAAACACUUGUAUAAUUCUGGUAGGAUUUCCCCCAUAUUUUAAUUGCAUUUGUGUGAAAUAAACCCUCUGAUUUUGGGCCAGAACACAUAGAAGAGAGAAAAAACAGAGGUAUGGUACUGAAGUAAAUGUUAAGGAGUAAAAAAGGAAAAGUGAAAUGUUAGUCUCCUCUUACGAUAUGAUAGAUGUUGCAUCUAUUCUCAGCAGCUCUGUUCUAUGGACCUACUAAACUAUUACUACUUAUAUCACUACUUAUUACACUGCAAACUUUAUCAGGAACUCAAGAACUAGAUUUGUUACACCCUUGCUAAUCCAACUGAUUCAAUCUAGUUCAGAAGAAAAAAAAAUCUAAUUUUUGUUGUCUGAUGUAGACAAACACAAAACGAAACAUUGUUUGCAAUGGCUCCAAGGAAAAUACUAAAGGAUACCCCCCCAUAAUUAAUACUGUUAAUAUUAGAGAUGUAUUGAACUGGUGUGAACUGUAAUUUUAUAUGUAUUUUGCUAAAAUCUAUGAUUGCAAAUACUAGUAGUAGUAGUAGUAGUAGUAGUAGUAGUAGUAGUAGUAGUAGUAGUGGUGGCGGCGUUAACCUAAUUCAUGGUUUAUUCAGCCACAUUUUUGAAGGGUUUACACAACAGUAAAUUGUAAACUAAUAAACUGAGCUGGAUUUAGGCUAUGAUGGGUUUGAAUGGUUUAUAAUUGAGUACCUAGUGUUGUGUAAACACAGUCUUAUUUGGAUAAAAAACACGGGAAUUUUUUCAGAGUGAUACUAAAGCUGACAUCAUUAUUAACCAAAAUUAUUCACACUGUACACUCAACAGUUGCAAUGGAAUUAUGGCCAACAGGUUGUCAACUUGUAUCUGAAAGCAGUGCAAUCCAUUUGUAGAUGAGAACUAGUAUGAUUUGGAUUCAUGAUUAUUUGUGCAAAAUAAUUUUUGACACCUAAAAAAUUAGAUAUCAAAGGACAAGAUCCUGGCCUCGCUUUCACAGCGUUAUUUUCUACAUAUAAAUGGUAUU